UCUGUCUUAGACUCUCCGGUCUUCUUCUUCUCCUGAAAAUUCUUAUCCCGUCUCGACGAUCAUCCCAAACGUGACCACCCCUUUUUACGGAUCUACCUACUCCUGUUUCUCUGUAAAUUGACUUCCUAAUAUCAAGUUCUUUCGUUUUCUCUGUAUUUGUUUUUCGUUAAAAGACCUCCUCCUCCGCCCCCAUGAAUUGUGAAACACCUUCACCCUGAAAGAAGCACAGCGCCUACGGAAAAUCAGAGACCUAACAUCAUAUUUUAAUCAGCCUGUACAUCUUCAUGGUAAGGGAAAGCAAGCAAGUCUUUGUUCCCUGUCGUAGACCUAGAAUCAAAGAGCAUACUCAAAUUCAAGAGUUGAUAGAAAUAUCAAUAGAGCAAUCUCGAAGCGGAUGGUGUGGACUGGUGGUAGCGAGAAGAUGGACUUCAUGCUAUGUUGCUACUGGCUUGGUGUUAUAGACUGUAUGGAAAUUAGGUCAUGUAUGGAGACUGCAAGUAGAGAUGGAACUGGUAGUCGCUGUUGGAAUGAGACCUGGUGUUGUGUUGCGAAGAGGAGAUUUUGUUCUUGAUGGAAACUGCAAGGUAAAAGUUUGUUGCAAGUGGAAUGCUGCACUGAAAAGAAGCAAAUGCUUCUAUCUGCUGUAGAGCGGCUGAAAGUGUCUUUUGCCACAUCUAGACAAGCAGAAACCUUAGUUUGUUGUCCCUAGAAAUUGUAAAUUCCGCACAUGCGAUGGUCAAUUGUAUUAAUCUUGCAAAGGAUAGGAUUGAUUAAGGGUGCACACGGUACGGUUUGGCUCGGUUCUUGUCGAGACCGAGUACCUGUACCUUACACCCUUCGGUACCAAAAAAAUGGACCGGUCCCGGUACCGAGUACCUCGGUUCCGGUUCCAUUCGGGACCGGCCGGUUCCGGUCGGUACCGGUACCGGUUUCGGUUCCAUUUCAGAGGGGAAAAAAAAAACAGAAAUCUACUGCCCUGUUUUUUA
Molecule: long non-coding RNA, 986 nt
Organism: Papaver somniferum (opium poppy)
Lineage: Eukaryota; Viridiplantae; Streptophyta; Magnoliopsida; Ranunculales; Papaveraceae
Exons: 2
Source: RefSeq, a predicted model, not a curated record